Fusibacter sp. 3D3 is the source of this 117-nucleotide ribosomal RNA. Lineage: Bacteria; Bacillati; Bacillota; Clostridia; Eubacteriales; Fusibacteraceae. The record is from Rfam.
UCCAGUGAUGAAGGCGGAGGGGCUACACCUGUUCCCAUACCGAACACAGAAGUAAAGUCCUCCAGCGUCGAUGGUACUUGGCGGGCAGCUGCCUGGGAGAGUAGAACGUUGCUGGUU